RNAcentral lists this ribosomal RNA (1506 nucleotides) under metagenome. RNAcentral's name for it is "bacterial SSU rRNA". It matches the Rfam family "Bacterial small subunit ribosomal RNA". The record is from RNAcentral.
AGAGUUUGAUCCUGGCUCAGGACGAACGCUGGCGGCGUGCCUAAUACAUGCAAGUAGAACGCUGAAGAGAGGAGCUUGCUCUUCUUGGAUGAGUUGCGAACGGGUGAGUAACGCGUAGGUAACCUGCCUUGUAGCGGGGGAUAACUAUUGGAAACGAUAGCUAAUACCGCAUAACAAUGGAUGACACAUGUCAUUUAUUUGAAAGGGGCAAUUGCUCCACUACAAGAUGGACCUGCGUUGUAUUAGCUAGUAGGUGAGGUAAUGGCUCACCUAGGCGACGAUACAUAGCCGACCUGAGAGGGUGAUCGGCCACACUGGGACUGAGACACGGCCCAGACUCCUACGGGAGGCAGCAGUAGGGAAUCUUCGGCAAUGGGGGCAACCCUGACCGAGCAACGCCGCGUGAGUGAAGAAGGUUUUCGGAUCGUAAAGCUCUGUUGUAAGUCAAGAACGGGUGUGAGAGUGGAAAGUUCACACUGUGACGGUAGCUUACCAGAAAGGGACGGCUAACUACGUGCCAGCAGCCGCGGUAAUACGUAGGUCCCGAGCGUUGUCCGGAUUUAUUGGGCGUAAAGCGAGCGCAGGCGGUUUGAUAAGUCUGAAGUUAAAGGCUGUGGCUCAACCAUAGUUCGCUUUGGAAACUGUCAAACUUGAGUGCAGAAGGGGAGAGUGGAAUUCCAUGUGUAGCGGUGAAAUGCGUAGAUAUAUGGAGGAACACCGGUGGCGAAAGCGGCUCUCUGGUCUGUAACUGACGCUGAGGCUCGAAAGCGUGGGGAGCGAACAGGAUUAGAUACCCUGGUAGUCCACGCCGUAAACGAUGAGUGCUAGGUGUUGGAUCCUUUCCGGGAUUCAGUGCCGCAGCUAACGCAUUAAGCACUCCGCCUGGGGAGUACGACCGCAAGGUUGAAACUCAAAGGAAUUGACGGGGGCCCGCACAAGCGGUGGAGCAUGUGGUUUAAUUCGAAGCAACGCGAAGAACCUUACCAGGUCUUGACAUCCCGAUGCUAUUUCUAGAGAUAGAAAGUUACUUCGGUACAUCGGUGACAGGUGGUGCAUGGUUGUCGUCAGCUCGUGUCGUGAGAUGUUGGGUUAAGUCCCGCAACGAGCGCAACCCCUAUUGUUAGUUGCCAUCAUUCAGUUGGGCACUCUAGCGAGACUGCCGGUAAUAAACCGGAGGAAGGUGGGGAUGACGUCAAAUCAUCAUGUCCCUUAUGACCUGGGCUACACACGUGCUACAAUGGUUGGUACAACGAGUUGCGAGUCGGUGACGGCGAGCUAAUCUCUUAAAGCCAAUCUCAGUUCGGAUUGUAGGCUGCAACUCGCCUACAUGAAGUCGGAAUCGCUAGUAAUCGCGGAUCAGCACGCCGCGGUGAAUACGUUCCCGGGCCUUGUACACACCGCCCGUCACACCACGAGAGUUUGUAACACCCGAAGUCGGUGAGGUAACCUUUUGGAGCCAGCCGCCUAAGGUGGGACAGAUGAUUGGGGUGAAGUCGUAACAAGGUA